AGUCGAGCGGUAGAGAGGAGCUUGCUUCUCUUGAGAGCGGCGGACGGGUGAGUAAUGCCUAGGAAUCUGCCUAGUGGUGGGGGAUAACGUUCGGAAACGGACGCUAAUACCGCAUACGUCCUACGGGAGAAAGCGGGGGAUCUUCGGACCUCGCGCCAUUAGAUGAGCCUAGGUCGGAUUAGCUAGUUGGUGAGGUAAUGGCUCACCAAGGCGACGAUCCGUAACUGGUCUGAGAGGAUGAUCAGUCACACUGGAACUGAGACACGGUCCAGACUCCUACGGGAGGCAGCAGUGGGGAAUAUUGGACAAUGGGCGAAAGCCUGAUCCAGCCAUGCCGCGUGUGUGAAGAAGGUCUUCGGAUUGUAAAGCACUUUAAGUUGGGAGGAAGGGUUGUAGAUUAAUACUCUGCAAUUUUGACGUUACCGACAGAAUAAGCACCGGCUAACUUCGUGCCAGCAGCCGCGGUAAUACGAAGGGUGCAAGCGUUAAUCGGAAUUACUGGGCGUAAAGCGCGCGUAGGUGGUUCGUUAAGUUGGAUGUGAAAGCCCCGGGCUCAACCUUGGAACUGCAUCCAAAACUGGCGAGCUAGAGUACGGUAGAGGGUGGUGGAAUUUCCUGUGUAGCGGUGAAAUGCGUAGAUAUAGGAAGGAACACCAGUGGCGAAGGCGACCACCUGGACUGAUACUGACACUGAGGUGCGAAAGCGUGGGGAGCAAACAGGAUUAGAUACCCUGGUAGUCCACGCCGUAAACGAUGU
RNAcentral lists this ribosomal RNA (757 nucleotides) under uncultured bacterium. RNAcentral describes it as "bacterial SSU rRNA". It matches the Rfam family "Bacterial small subunit ribosomal RNA", at positions 60 to 812 of the family's 1533-position model. The record is from RNAcentral.